Molecule: ribosomal RNA, 447 nt
Filed under: uncultured bacterium
Lineage: Bacteria
Description: partial 16S ribosomal RNA
Rfam family: Bacterial small subunit ribosomal RNA
Source: RNAcentral
AACGAACGCUGGCGGCAGGCUUAACACACGCAAGUCGAACGCCCCGCAAGGGGAGUGGCAGACGGGUGAGUAACGCGUGGGAAUCUACCCAGUUCUACGGAACAACUGAGGGAAACUUCAGCUAAUACCGUAUACGCCCUACGGGGGAAAGAUUUAUCGGAAUUGGAUGAGCCCGCGUAAGAUUAGCUAGUUGGUGGGGUAAAGGCCUACCAAGGCGACGAUCUUUAGCUGGUCUGAGAGGAUGAUCAGCCACACUGGGACUGAGACACGGCCCAGACUCCUACGGGAGGCAGCAGUGGGGAAUAUUGGACAAUGGGCGCAAGCCUGAUCCAGCCAUGCCGCGUGAGUGAUGAAGGCCUUAGGGUUGUAAAGCUCUUUCAGUGGGGACGAUAAUGACGGUACCCACAGAAGAAGCCCCGGCUAACUUCGUGCCAGCAGCCGCGGUAA